GACGAACGCUGGCGGCGUGCUUAACACAUGCAAGUCGAGCGGUAAGGCCCUUUCGGGGGUACGACGAGCGGCGAACGGGUGAGUAACACGUGGGUGACCUGCCCUCAGCUCUGGGAUAAGCCUGGGAAACUGGGUCUAAUACCGGAUAUGACUCCAUGACGCAUGUUGUGGGGUGGAAAGCCUUGUGCGGCUGAGGAUGGGCCCGCGGCCUAUCAGCUUGGUGGUGGGGUGANGGCCUACCAAGGCGACGACGGGUAGCCGGCCUGAGAGGGCGACCGGCCACACUGGGACUGAGACACGGCCCAGACUCCUACGGGAGGCAGCAGUGGGGAAUCUUGCGCAAUGGGCGAAAGCCUGACGCAGCGACGCCGCGUGAGGGAUGAC
RNAcentral lists this ribosomal RNA (384 nucleotides) under uncultured bacterium. RNAcentral describes it as "bacterial SSU rRNA". It matches the Rfam family "Bacterial small subunit ribosomal RNA", at positions 28 to 412 of the family's 1533-position model. The record is from RNAcentral.